GUGUGUCAGUAUGUCUGUGUGUGUAUGUCAGUAUGUCUGUCAUAGACACACACAGACAUACUGACAUACAUACACAAACAGACAU
Pelobates cultripes (western spadefoot toad) is the source of this 85-nucleotide non-coding RNA. The record is from the annotation of a GenBank genome assembly. NCBI's taxonomy places the organism in Eukaryota, Metazoa, Chordata, Amphibia, Anura, Pelobatidae.